Molecule: ribosomal RNA, 253 nt
Filed under: uncultured bacterium
Lineage: Bacteria
Description: partial 16S ribosomal RNA
Rfam family: Bacterial small subunit ribosomal RNA
Source: RNAcentral
UACGUAGGCAGCAAGCGUUGUUCGGAAUUACUGGGCGUAAAGCGAGUGUAGGCGGUUCGAUAAGUUUGGUGUGAAAUCUCCCGGCUCAACUGGGAGGGUGCGCCGAAGACUGUCGAGCUAGAGUGUGGGAGAGGUAGGCGGAAUUCCUGGUGUAGCGGUGAAAUGCGUAGAUAUCGGGAGGAACAUCUGUGGCGAAGGCGACACCCUGGACCAGCACUGACACUGAGGCACGAAAGCGUGGGGAGCAAACAGG